RNAcentral lists this unclassified non-coding RNA (364 nucleotides) under Hevea brasiliensis (rubber tree). Lineage: Eukaryota; Viridiplantae; Streptophyta; Magnoliopsida; Malpighiales; Euphorbiaceae. The record is from RNAcentral.
UGCAUAUUAUGUUGCACCUGAAGUACUUCAUAGGUCAUAUAGCAUUGAAGCAGAUAUGUGGAGUAUUGGUGUGAUAACUUAUAUCUUGUUAUGUGGAAGUAGACCUUUCUGGGCACGUACAGAGUCUGGCAUUUUCCGUUCUGUGUUACGAGCUGAUCCUAAUUUUGAGGACUCGCCUUGGCCUGCAGUGUCAGCAGAGGCCAGAGAUUUUGUGAAAAGGCUUUUGAAUAAAGACCAUAGGAAGAGAAUGACUGCUUCUCAAGCACUGACUCAUCCAUGGUUAAGGACUGAAAAUCCUUUUGUACCCUUAGACAUAUUGAUCUUUAAAUUAGUCAAGUCUUAUAUUCGAACAUCACCCUUGAAA